GACGAACGCUGGCGGCGUGCUUAACACAUGCAAGUCGAACGGAAAGGCCCUGCUUUUGUGGGGUGCUCGAGUGGCGAACGGGUGAGUAACACGCGAGUAACCUGCCCUUGACUUUGGGAUAACUUCAGGAAACUGGGGCUAAUACCGGAUAGGAGCCCCUGCUGCAUGGUGGGGGUUGGAAAGUUUCGGCGGUUGGGGAUGGACUCGCGGCUUAUCAGCUUGUUGGUGGGGUAGUGGCUUACCAAGGCUUUGACGGGUAGCCGGCCUGAGAGGGUGACCGGCCACAUUGGGACUGAGAUACGGCCCAGACUCCUACGGGAGGCAGCAGUGGGGAAUAUUGCACAAUGGGCGGAAGCCUGAUGCAGCAACGCCGCGUGCGGGAUGACGGCCUUCGGGUUGUAAACCGCUUUCGCCUGUGACGAAGCGUGAGUGACGGUAAUGGGUAAAGAAGCACCGGCUAACUACGUG
This 468-nucleotide ribosomal RNA is filed under the name uncultured bacterium. Its description in RNAcentral is "partial 16S ribosomal RNA". It matches the Rfam family "Bacterial small subunit ribosomal RNA", at positions 28 to 507 of the family's 1533-position model. The record is from RNAcentral.